Long non-coding RNA from Ornithodoros turicata, 1396 nucleotides. RefSeq lists it as uncharacterized. The transcript is spliced from 2 exons. NCBI's taxonomy places the organism in Eukaryota, Metazoa, Arthropoda, Arachnida, Ixodida, Argasidae. The record is from RefSeq and is a predicted model, not a curated record.
CCGAAGCUUUUACGGCAAACGUUCGAGAGGGUCUCGAGCAAGCGGCCCGCACCGAAUGUGGCCCGCGGGCCCUUGGGCGUUUAUGGCGUAUAUGGAGGCCAGCUGGAGUAUGAACUCCAUAAUGUAAAAGCCUGAGUCUGGGCACACAGAGGGACGACACGGACACACGACUGAGAAUUUACGGACACUGCACAACCUUGGGCAUUCUUGCACGAAACACUUCUCGGCACAGUCCUCAACGCUCGCCUUCGUCAAGCAUUUCCUUCCUGAACUGAGAAAUUUAUUGGUGGCAGCAGGAACUGACUUGCACAAACGCUCUGAGAGAUGUCCUAAUAUUUCGUGUUAUCGGGUUCAAUGCAAACCAGGGGGCCAAAAAGCAGGUCUUACAGAGUUCAACCCAAAUACGCACAGACGCUGCAAUAAAACCAAGAACUCACCGGAUGUGAAAAAGUCAUCUGCCAACACAGCUUCUACGUUUGGCCUUCGUUCCGGUUCCAGUUGCAACAUCUUUUGAAUCAGUGUCCGUGCAGUGGGUCCAACGGAGGACGGAAUGCGAUACUCGUUCUUCUUGAUGCGGAUAUAGGUCUCUUUUAGGGAGGAUGUCUCAAAGGGAGGACGUCCCACCAGGAGUGUGUACCUUGAACGUUGCACAAAUUUUAGCCAAAUGCUCCAGUGCAGGGGUUCUCAAACUGGGUUCUCCGGCCAGGUAUCCAGCAUUAUGGAACGCGCCUAACAGUAACCAUGCGACGCUCCUUCGUAUAUACACCACAACGUGUGGGACUGCGAUGAGGAGGUUAUAUCAGCUUUGUUUACACCUUGAAGAUUACAUUAUGAAUUCGUGCUUCAUGGAAAGAACCCACAAAGCAUUGUUCGCAGUGAGGUUUGGGAGAGUGGCGCAGUCCUGCUAAUUUGCACUUCCGGAUAAUUUGAACUGAUGCUCAGGUCCCAUCAAAUUAAUGUAUCUGUAUUGAAAUAGGUGAGAACACCCAUGCAACUGAUAUGCGCUAUCAGGCCCCCAUUCAGAGUGACUCCCUUUAGUUUGAACGCAGCUUGAUUUUAACAAACAUGUCCGAAUUAACAGGGUUGCACUGUAGUUGUUUGAACACAUGCAGAACCUAUGUUCCUUGUUAUGCCAACAUACAUAUAUGGGUACCUUGGGAUCACAAAGUUUGAGAACCCCUGAUCCAGUGUGCACUUUUUUUCGUAACGUGUACGUACAAUAUGCAUCCGAUAGACCAAAUGUCCACUUCGAAGCUGUGUCCCUUCUUGCCAAGAACUUCGGGGGCAAUGUAGUUGGGAGUUCCACACAAUGUCCUAGAAGUGUACAAAACACAGUUAUGUACCAGGAAGUUUGCCAGGGAGAAACAUUUAAGGUCAUAUAAUCGUGGUGCACAUA